AGGGAAGUCAAUGCUUUCUUUUUGGCCACUUCCAAUCUGGCAAUUGUUAAUGAACGUGAUUCAUUCGUCGACUCUGUCUGAGAUUUGGAUGAAGCACGAGUUCUAUAACAAAGUAUGGCACCUAUAGAUCUAUUCCAUAUUGUGUGUAAUUUUUUAGUCCUUACUUGUCAUGGCCCUAGAACUAGAAAGAAUAAGAAUUCUAGAAUAAGGGUCCCUCCAUUUCGAAUGAGAGAGAUAACGAAAUAUCGUUCCCAGAUAUCUCAAUUGGUCAAAUUCGGACCAAUUGCAUCUCUAUUUAUUCCUUUCAAGAAAUGCCC
This 317-nucleotide long non-coding RNA is filed under the name Amborella trichopoda. RNAcentral describes it as "long non-coding RNA (ATRI_LNC001303)". The record is from RNAcentral. Lineage: Eukaryota; Viridiplantae; Streptophyta; Magnoliopsida; Amborellales; Amborellaceae.